RNAcentral lists this ribosomal RNA (253 nucleotides) under uncultured bacterium. RNAcentral's name for it is "partial 16S ribosomal RNA". It matches the Rfam family "Bacterial small subunit ribosomal RNA", at positions 524 to 776 of the family's 1533-position model. The record is from RNAcentral.
UACGUAGGGUGCGAGCGUUAAUCGGAAUUACUGGGCGUAAAGCGUGCGCAGGCGGUUCGUCGUGUCCGAUGUGAAAGCCCCGGGCUCAACCUGGGAAUGGCACUGGAAACUGGCGGGCUUGAGUGUGGCAGAGGGGGGUGGAAUUCCGCGUGUAGCAGUGAAAUGCGUAGAGAUGCGGAGGAACACCGAUGGCGAAGGCAGCCCCCUGGGCUAACACUGACGCUCAGGCACGAAAGCGUGGGGAGCAAACAGG